This 248-nucleotide ribosomal RNA is filed under the name uncultured Chloroflexota bacterium. RNAcentral describes it as "uncultured Chloroflexi bacterium partial 16S ribosomal RNA". It matches the Rfam family "Bacterial small subunit ribosomal RNA", at positions 796 to 1041 of the family's 1533-position model. Lineage: Bacteria; Bacillati; Chloroflexota. The record is from RNAcentral.
CUAGCCCUAAACGAUGUUGACUAGGCGUCGGUGGCUUAAUCGCCAUCGGUGUCCAAGCUAACGCGAUAAGUCAACCGCCUGGGGACUACGGCCGCAAGGUUAAAACUCAAAGGAAUUGACGGGUCCCCGCACAAGCAGCGGAGCGAGUGGUUUAAUUCGUUGCUACGCGAAGAACCUUACCUGGGUUUGACAUAGCAGUGGUAGGGAAGAGAAAUCGGACCGACCCUUCGGGGAGCUGUUACAGGUGU